RNAcentral lists this ribosomal RNA (324 nucleotides) under Klebsiella pneumoniae. RNAcentral's name for it is "partial 23S ribosomal RNA". It matches the Rfam family "Bacterial large subunit ribosomal RNA", at positions 916 to 1238 of the family's 2925-position model. RNAcentral also lists the same sequence under 1 other name. Lineage: Bacteria; Pseudomonadati; Pseudomonadota; Gammaproteobacteria; Enterobacterales; Enterobacteriaceae. The record is from RNAcentral.
CGGCUAGGGGGUCAUCCCGACUUACCAACCCGAUGCAAACUACGAAUACCGAAGAAUGUUAUCACGGGAGACACACGGCGGGUGCUAACGUCCGUCGUGAAGAGGGAAACAACCCAGACCGCCAGCUAAGGUCCCAAAGUCAUGGUUAAGUGGGAAACGAUGUGGGAAGGCACAGACAGCCAGGAUGUUGGCUUAGAAGCAGCCAUCAUUUAAAGAAAGCGUAAUAGCUCACUGGUCGAGUCGGCCUGCGCGGAAGAUGUAACGGGGCUAAACCAUGCACCGAAGCUGCGGCAGCGACACUAUGUGUUGUUGGGUAGGGGAGCG